GACAGAGGGUGCGAACGUUGCUCGGAAUCACUGGGCGUAAAGCGCGUGUAGGCGGACCAGCAAGUCAGGUGUGAAAUCCCUGGGCUCAACCUAGGAACUGCAUCUGAAACUGCUGGUCUUGAGUGUCGGAGAGGGAAGCGGAAUUCCUGGUGUAGAGGUGAAAUUCGUAGAUAUUCGGAGGAACACCAGUGGCGAAGGCGGCUCACUGGCUCGAUACUGACGCUGAGGUGCGAAAGUGUGGGGAGCAAACAGGAUUAGAUACCCGGGUAGUCC
This 273-nucleotide ribosomal RNA is filed under the name uncultured bacterium. RNAcentral's name for it is "partial 16S ribosomal RNA". It matches the Rfam family "Bacterial small subunit ribosomal RNA", at positions 524 to 796 of the family's 1533-position model. The record is from RNAcentral.